UACAGAGGAUGCAAGCGUUAUCCGGAAUGAUUGGGCGUAAAGCGUCUGUAGGUGGCUUUUUAAGUCCGCCGUCAAAUCCCAGGGCUCAACUCUGGACAGGCGGUGGAAACUACCAAGCUGGAGUACGGUAGGGGCAGAGGGAAUUUCCGGUGGAGCGGUGAAAUGCGUAGAUAUCGUCUGGAACGCCGAAGGUGAAAACAGCUCGCUGGGAUUGUGCUGACGCUGAGACACGAAAGCCAGGGGAGCGAACGGG
This 253-nucleotide ribosomal RNA is filed under the name uncultured bacterium. Its description in RNAcentral is "partial 16S ribosomal RNA". It matches the Rfam family "Bacterial small subunit ribosomal RNA", at positions 524 to 776 of the family's 1533-position model. The record is from RNAcentral.